RNAcentral lists this ribosomal RNA (451 nucleotides) under uncultured bacterium. RNAcentral describes it as "bacterial SSU rRNA". It matches the Rfam family "Bacterial small subunit ribosomal RNA", at positions 44 to 507 of the family's 1533-position model. The record is from RNAcentral.
GUGCCUAACACAUGCAAGUCGAACGAGAUCCAUGGGAGCUUGCUCCCGGAAGAUCUAGUGGCGAACGGGUGAGUAACACGUGAGAAACCUGCCCUGGAGUGGGGAAUAACUCGGGGAAACUCGAGCUAAUACCGCAUACCCUCGGAUGGUCGCAUGGCCGACCGAGGAAAGAUUUACCGCUCUAGGAGGGUCUCGCGGCCUAUCAGCUAGUUGGUGGGUAACGGCCUACCAAGGCAACGACGGGUAGCUGGUUUGAGAGAACGAUCAGCCACACUGGGACUGAGACACGGCCUAGACUCCUACGGGAGGCAGCAGUGGGGAAUCUUGCGCAAUGGGCGAAAGCCUGACGCAGCAACGCCGCGUGCGGGAUGACGGCCUUCGUGGUUGUAAACCGCUUUCAGCAGGGACGAAAAUGACGGUACCUGCAGAAGAAGCCCCGGCUAACUACGUG